RNAcentral lists this ribosomal RNA (709 nucleotides) under uncultured bacterium. RNAcentral's name for it is "bacterial SSU rRNA". It matches the Rfam family "Bacterial small subunit ribosomal RNA", at positions 1 to 724 of the family's 1533-position model. The record is from RNAcentral.
AAUUCGAUUAGUUUGAUCCUGGCUCAGGACGAACGCUGGCGGCGUGCUUAACACAUGCAAGUCGAGCGAGGCCCUUCCUUCGGGAAGGAGCCCUAGCGGCGAACGGGUGAGUAACACGUGGGCAACCUGCCCCUAGCACUGGGAUAACUCCGGGAAACCGGGGCUAAUACCGGAUAUGACCUUCGAGGGCAUCCUCGCUGGUGUAAAGGAUUCUGGCUAGGGAUGGGCCCGCGGCCUAUCAGCUUGUUGGUGGGGUAAUGGCCUACCAAGGCGACGACGGGUAGCCGGCCUGAGAGGGCGACCGGCCACACUGGGACUGAGACACGGCCCAGACUCCUACGGGAGGCAGCAGUGGGGAAUAUUGCACAAUGGGCGAAAGCCUGAUGCAGCGACGCCGCGUGAGGGAUGAAUGCCUUCGGGUUGUAAACCCCUUUCAGCAGGGACGAAGCGAAAGUGACGGUACCUGCAGAAGAAGCACCGGCCAACUACGUGCCAGCAGCCGCGGUAAUACGUAAGGUGCAAGCGUUGUCCGGAAUUAUUGGGCGUAAAGAGCUCGUAGGCGGUUUGUCGCGUCGGCUGUGAAAACCUGGGGCUCAACCCCGGGCCUGCAGCCGAUACAGGCAAACUAGAAUUCGGUAGGGGAGACUGGAAUUCCUGGUGUAGCGGUGAAAUGCGCAGAUAUCAGGAGGAACACCGGUGGCGAAGGCGG